RNAcentral lists this long non-coding RNA (1602 nucleotides) under Olea europaea subsp. europaea. The record is from RNAcentral. Lineage: Eukaryota; Viridiplantae; Streptophyta; Magnoliopsida; Lamiales; Oleaceae.
AAAUUNUUUGGCCUUAUGGUAUAUUGAUCUUUCUACAUAAUUGAAAUAUGAAGUCAUCUUCCAUUUCUUUCCAAUUGAAAAAAUUUUAAUGUAAUUUUAAUGACAAUAGUUUUCUUCUUGGUUGCAUUUUUAAUAUUAAAGGAGAUAAAUGUCAGAGAAUCUUUAAGCUUUGCCCAUGGCUCCCAUGUCUUAUAAGGUUUCAACUACUAUUGGACAAGAAAUCGUAAAAAUAGCCUCAAACCUUCUAAUUGAUACCAGUAUUACAUAUUAAUUUUUGGCAUUUUAUACGAUAUGCUGAGUUUCUUUAUAUGUAGCUCCGCCAUGGAAAUUGAUUGAUUUGCCUAGGGUAGAGAGGAAAUCUCUAUGAUUCUUUAGUGAGUAGCUUCUAAACAUAUUCUCGUAUAUUUCAACUGCAGUUUCUGCAAUAAUCUAUAAUGAAUUUUUCUAAAUGAAUCUUUUGAAUAGUUUAGAUUUGAUACCUAAUUUUGGAAGUUUAAUAUCCCUGUUUCUUUUUAUGGAUUCAAUAUGCUGACACAGUGAUGCAAUAUUGCUGGUUGUAAUUCCUGCUUCUCGGUCCCCAAAAGUUACCACAUGUAAAGUUAUUAAAAUUUCUAAGGAACUUGAUGGAGAUCCUUGCUCAAGAGAUCCAAAAUUGUAUGAAACUUGGGCUUCUCAAUCUCCUCUCUGGGUGUAUUAUAUCCUCCAACUGCUUGUGUUUUGUUUUCUGUUUAGUUAAUCCAUCUACAACAGAUUGAUUCUAUUUGUUAGCUUGCAGAAGAACUGCUUCUAGUAUGCUUUACGUAGUCCUUGUCCCUUCAGAAUAUAAUGUGUAAAAAGAAUCAUCUCUCUCCAUUAUUGUGCAUGGGAAUUGAGGUCUGCUGCCUUGUACUGUACUAGAGAAAUAGGCAAAUAUCUCCAAUAGUUGCAAAUCAUUAUCGUCGUUAAUAUGUGACAUAAAUACUGCAUUCUUCUUUAGCAGAAUCAAAGUGAACAACAGAUGCUAUUGCAUUUCAGUCUCACAUUUUCUGAUUUAAUUGAAAGUUAUUUUUCUUUCAGUACUUGUCAAGUAUCAAUAAUUCAUGAGGUUGGAUGAUAUUAUUGGGAUAAAAAGCACUCCAAGUGACUUUUAUUUGAUAUUUUCUACAACGAUUGCAGGCUUCAGAGAACAUCCCAGAUAGUGCAGAAAGAAUUGGUUAGGCUUGAUGAACGAAUAGUGCUUAAGGCACAAAAGCUUUAUCAAUGGAGCUUUGCCAUGAAUUUGAGGAUAAGUUCCUCCAGAACGUUACAACUGAUGAGGUGAGACUUAGCUGUAAAAGUCAUCUUUCACAAAUUUUUGUAAUCAUAAAGGAUUUUUAAAGUAAUUAGGAUGAAGAAAAAUUUCAUUGCAGCAUCACUUGAUGAGUGAAAGAGUAUCUUCGGUACUGGAGCCUAUAUGGUCUUUUCUAGAUCAAAUUCUAGAUGCCUAUUUUCUCACUACUAGAUUAUAAAACAUUGGCUUCUAAAUGUUUGUACUUUUUUCUAUAUUUACAAAUCAGGUUGUUUUAUAUUGCAGAUUUUAUAUGUUCAUCAGUUUGGUGCCAACAGGUUUUUACCGAACGCGCU